ACUGUACUGUUCAGAGGUAGGAUCCCUUUGUUAAUAAUAUAAAAUUAUCACAUUUACAUUACUACUUUUUCACAUGAGGAUAUUGUCCUUUAUGGCUUACAGUCUGGUCAAAAUGUAACUAUUUAGUUUUUCAUUACUCAGGAUUUUGCCGUUUUGAAAAGUGUGUUGGUGUAUUUGUGUCCAUAUUCCAACCAUUUCAUUUUGAUGUAGACCGAUAUUGUAUUUAUGAAAGACAUGCUUGGAUUACUGCUUAUAUUAUUUUACUCUCAGUGUUGGGCUGAAGAUGUGUGUUUCAAUCUGACAAAUUAUGAAAUUAAUAUAACCAUUGACAACCUAUCAAUAAUCGACAAUCCUAAAAAUGUUGUGUUGUGUUCUGACUGCUCGUACGUACUGCACUGCGAGUAUGCCCGGCAAACAGUCUCGUGGUUCAAUGGCUCAUUUGCCUGCCUCAGCGCAACUAUGUCGCCCUCUGAAUACUACAA
This is a long non-coding RNA of Periophthalmus magnuspinnatus, 482 nucleotides long. RefSeq lists it as uncharacterized. Lineage: Eukaryota; Metazoa; Chordata; Actinopteri; Gobiiformes; Gobiidae. The record is from RefSeq and is a predicted model, not a curated record. The transcript has 3 exons.